RNAcentral lists this transfer RNA (72 nucleotides) under Coniophora puteana RWD-64-598 SS2. RNAcentral describes it as "tRNA-Gln (TTG) (tRNA-Gln-TTG-2-1)". It matches the Rfam family "tRNA". Rfam says of the family: Transfer RNA (tRNA) molecules are approximately 80 nucleotides in length. Their secondary structure includes four short double-helical elements and three loops (D, anti-codon, and T loops). Lineage: Eukaryota; Fungi; Basidiomycota; Agaricomycetes; Boletales; Coniophoraceae. The record is from RNAcentral.
GGCGUUAUAGUGUAGUGGUUAUCACUCGGGAUUUUGAUUCCCGUAACCCAGGUUCGAACCCUGGUAACGCCU